RNAcentral lists this ribosomal RNA (388 nucleotides) under uncultured bacterium. RNAcentral's name for it is "bacterial SSU rRNA". It matches the Rfam family "Bacterial small subunit ribosomal RNA", at positions 28 to 417 of the family's 1533-position model. The record is from RNAcentral.
GACGAACGCUGGCGGCGUGCUUAACACAUGCAAGUCGAGCGGUAAGGCCCUUUCGGGGGUACACGAGCGGCGAACGGGUGAGUAACACGUGGGUGACCUGCCCUCAGCUCUGGGAUAAGCCCGGGAAACUGGGUCUAAUACUGGAUAUUACUCUGCGGUGCAUGCCGUGGGGUGGAAAGCCUUGUGCGGCUGGGGGAUGGGCCCGCGGCCUAUCAGCUUGUUGGUGGGGUGAUGGCCACCAAGGCGACGACGGGUAGCCGGCCUGAGAGGGCGACCGGCCACACUGGGACUGAGACACGGCCCAGACUCCUACGGGAGGCAGCAGUGGGGAAUCUUGCGCAAUGGGCGAAAGCCUGACGCAGCGACGCCGCGUGAGGGAUGACGGCCU